ACCACUGAACAAGAUAUGAAAACUGCGGCCAGCCCUAUCUAGGCACUGCCAUGUCAUGCAGGAGAAGUUUGCCUUCGAGAAUACGUUGCUCUUGAUGUUGUUUGUGAAGCAAAACCUCAAUGCUCAGCUCCUGUUAUUGACCUUGUUCUUUUCAUAAUAAUCUUUCUCUCUUUCUUGCCUUCUUUCCUUCUUAUCUUGGAACCCAUCAGAUCAUCCUAUGUUCAGUUGUCUCAGAAUUAGGGGAGCUUUCUGCCAAUAUGGGCCAUGCCCUCAAAAUUACAUAAACCUCGGGCGAUGUGGCUCGUCGAAGACAUGUUGUAAACGUCCCAUAAACAGUUAUUUUAGCUGUUUAUUCAUUCAUGGCAAGUGCUUGCUGUGGCAUUGCGUUCCUCCUUUUGUUCCUGAUGGGAGAUGUGGAAGAGCUAGUCCAUGCUGUGUGCGCCCACUAGAAGAUCUGAACACUUGCAUAUUCUCUAAUCAAGGCGUUUGCGCCACAUGGCGGUGUCCUUAUCCUUUAAUCGCCCAGGGAAUAUGUGAUGCGGGAUAUCCGUGCUGUGUCAGCCCCAAGGAAUCCUAGGGUUCAUGCCCACUUCGUCCAUGGCUUGAAGUGAAUAUGAAGCAUUUCACUUUAACCUCAGAGGCACUUCAGCAAUAAAAGACACAUCCAGAAUUUGAAAUAAAUGGCU
Molecule: long non-coding RNA, 686 nt
Filed under: Pogona vitticeps (central bearded dragon)
Lineage: Eukaryota; Metazoa; Chordata; Lepidosauria; Squamata; Agamidae
Description: lncRNA (ENSPVIG00000003511.1)
Source: RNAcentral